UACGAAGGUGGCAAGCGUUGUUCGGAUUUACUGGGCGUACAGGGAGCGUAGGCGGUUGGAUAAGCCCUCCGUGAAAUCUCCAGGCUUAACCUGGAAAGUGCAGAGGGGACUGUUCAACUAGAGGAUGGGAGAGGAGCGCGGAAUUCCCGGUGUAGCGGUGAAAUGCGUAGAGAUCGGGAGGAAGGCCGGUGGCGAAGGCGGCGCUCUGGAACAUUUCUGACGCUGAGGCUCGAAAGCGUGGGGAGCAAACAGG
This 253-nucleotide ribosomal RNA is filed under the name uncultured bacterium. RNAcentral describes it as "partial 16S ribosomal RNA". It matches the Rfam family "Bacterial small subunit ribosomal RNA", at positions 524 to 776 of the family's 1533-position model. The record is from RNAcentral.